RNAcentral lists this long non-coding RNA (714 nucleotides) under Vombatus ursinus (common wombat). RNAcentral's name for it is "lncRNA (ENSVURG00010016257.1)". The record is from RNAcentral. Lineage: Eukaryota; Metazoa; Chordata; Mammalia; Diprotodontia; Vombatidae.
UCCCCGGGGCAGGGGGGGCCGGCUUAAGCCCCCUAAAAAGUCACUGUGCAGGGGUGAGGCACCUAUCAACUAGAUCCUGCCUUAGGACAGGGUGAGCUUAGCCACCCCCCUACCCUCCUCUCUCCAUUCUCCGACCAAGCACUAGACUGAGCCCGAACUCUUCCCUGAAAACCAUGCUGAGAUGGGAGGAACCUGUCAGCCACCUGACCUUACUACCUUAUACCUGAGGAAUUGCUUGGUCUAUUCCAGAAGAGUGCUUAGCUUAAUAAAGGCUGAUGAUAUUCGUCAGGAGACUGUUGACCGCUGCUAUAGAUAAGGAUCUCCUAUAUUCUUACCGGGAAGGAACCUUAGAAAUCAGUUAUUUUGAAGAUGACUUCAGAGAUUGUGAUUUGCCUAAUGUUGCAGUCGGUGGCAGUUUCAGGUUGAAGGAACCUAGUUCUAAGAUCCGAGGGCUGGGCCGACCCCUCCCCACCGGUUUGAUGCCCCGCCGGCUGGACGCCCUUUUUUCUUUACCCAUCCAAGUUCACACCCUGACCAGCGCCCCCAACCCUCCCCUUCCAUCCAGUAACAACCACUCUGACGCUCGGAGUUCGUCCUAAACGGCCCCAGGUGGAAAUGCCCCUAAGGAGAGCCUCUAAAAACACCCUCGGCGUGACUGCUCUAGGUUAGUAAAAUUGCUCAGGUUCGGCAUCUUUUAAGUGCGUUGUUUUUAAA